GUUCUAGCCUUAGUAUCUAAGCCUAACGUUUUCUAAAGCUGACGGGUCGCUGGCUAACUAACCAAGCUAACGAGCUGUGGUUGCUAGUAUGUUUAGGUCAAAAUUGCAUCACAAAUCUACCGCUGAACAAUGUCUGAGACGAGGCUGAGUGUUCAUAACCAUUUUCAUGCAAUAACUUCUGGGAAGGAGCUUCUAGAGGCAUUCAACUCUAAGACGUCUGGUUCCUAUCACCACCACUGUAAACGAUUCUGUCUUGAGCUGCAGCUGGGUCUCAUGGGGCCAAUGCAGAGCGGUGCCGGGGACACGGCGGUCCACGAGGUCACGCUUUUCACAGAUCUCCCCCAGCAGGCGGACAUCCGCAUCACACAGAGUGAUUGA
Pygocentrus nattereri (red-bellied piranha) is the source of this 378-nucleotide long non-coding RNA. Lineage: Eukaryota; Metazoa; Chordata; Actinopteri; Characiformes; Serrasalmidae. The record is from Ensembl.